RNAcentral lists this ribosomal RNA (294 nucleotides) under uncultured soil bacterium. Its description in RNAcentral is "partial 16S ribosomal RNA". It matches the Rfam family "Bacterial small subunit ribosomal RNA", at positions 26 to 348 of the family's 1533-position model. The record is from RNAcentral.
AGAACGAACGCUGGCGGCAUGCCUAAUACAUGCAAAUCGAACGAACACUUCGGUGUUAGUGGCGCACGGGUGCGUAACGCGUGGGAAUCUGCCCUUGGGUUCGGAAUAACAGUUGGAAACGACUGCUAAUACCGGAUAAUGACGAAAGUCCAAAGAUUUAUCGCCCAGGGAUGAGCCCGCGUAGGAUUAGCUAGUUGGNGAGGUAAAGGCUCACCAAGGCGACGAUCCUUAGCUGGUCUGAGAGGAUGAUCAGCCACACUGGGACUGAGACACGGCCCAGACUCCUACGGGAGG